CGGGGUGUGGCGCAGAUUGGCAGCGCGCUACCUUGGGGUGGUAGAGGCCGUGGGUUCAAGUCCCGUCACUCCGACCA
RNAcentral lists this transfer RNA (77 nucleotides) under Oscillospiraceae bacterium. RNAcentral's name for it is "tRNA-Pro". It matches the Rfam family "tRNA". Rfam says of the family: Transfer RNA (tRNA) molecules are approximately 80 nucleotides in length. Their secondary structure includes four short double-helical elements and three loops (D, anti-codon, and T loops). Lineage: Bacteria; Bacillati; Bacillota; Clostridia; Eubacteriales; Oscillospiraceae. The record is from RNAcentral.